RNAcentral lists this long non-coding RNA (1432 nucleotides) under Cricetulus griseus (Chinese hamster). RNAcentral's name for it is "lncRNA (ENSCGRG00015041995.1)". The record is from RNAcentral. Lineage: Eukaryota; Metazoa; Chordata; Mammalia; Rodentia; Cricetidae.
GUAAUGCGCGCCAACUCAAGACUUAAUGGGGUUGUAGCAAAGUGUUUUCUUAGAAAAAUGACUGAGGUAGAAGGAUCUUGAAUUCCAGGCCAGCCUGGGCUAUAUAAAGAGUGCAGUCUAAGGGGGAUACCGCCGGAGAAACGACUUGGUCGGCCAAGUGCUUGCCGUGGAAGCAUGAGGGCCCGAGGUUGAAUUUGGAUUCCCAGGGCCGGAUGUAGUCCCAGUGCUGGAGGAGGCUUGCUGGACGGCCUGUUCAGCCAGUUGGUUCAGUAAGAGACCGUUUCAAGAAAUAAAGUGGCUUGGUGUGGUGGCACACUCCUUUAAUCCCAGCACUCAGGAGGCAGAGGCAGGCGGGUCCCUGGGGGUUCGAGGCCAGUUCGGCCACAUAGUGAGUUCCGGGACAGCCAGAGUUCCAUAGUAGACUCUAUCUCAAAACAAGCAAGCAAGCAAGCAAGGAGGAAAAGCAAUUGAGGAAGCCACCCAAUGUCAACCUCCAGCUACAUAAACAUGUACUUGGGGAAAAUUUACCUCCAUGACUGUGUCUUUGUGCAGUUGCCACCUCCGGAGGAUCCCCCCACCCCCCACCCCAAAUUGAACACACGUACAAAAAUAGACUUCCCGGGUGUCAAACGCGGCGCCUCAUGCCUUGGGAGGCGGUGACAGGCAGAUCUUUGUGAGUUCCAGGCUAAUUUAGUCUACAUAGUGCAUUCCAGUCAAGUAGGGGUUACAUAGUGAGACCUUGUCUUAAAAGGGUGGGGCUGGUGGUGGUUUGGAGAGAUUCCUUAAGUGAUUAAGCUUCCAGAGGACCCAAAUGAAAUUCCCAGCACCCACUGCUUGUAACUCCAGCUCCAGGGGAUUUGAUGAUCUCUUCUGGCCUCCACAGAGAUAAACAAGAUUGAGCCUUCGGGGUACAAUUCUACAGAGGUACCCCAACAUAAAGACACUUGUGUGUUCUCAACAGGUAAUACAAAAAAGUGAACUGAAGAACCAGCCUGCCUCCAUUUUAGGAUUGGAAGCCAUCUUACAGUAAAGACAAACUAGGUUCAUUCCUGUUUGUGGUUAAACCUCUGUUUCUCAAGGAUUGGGCUAUCCCACCUCUAACCUUAACUACAAAUGGUUCUGAACUGCCUGUUCCAGGAAUGGCGAACAUGCCUUUGUGUCGAAAAGUUGUUUAUAACCAACUUGCAUCCCUACCUUUGUUUCAAAAGAUUAUAUGACCACUUAUGACUACCUUGCUAUGUCCACCUUGCAGCCAUGUCUUUACUUUGGAGGAACUAACUUGCUAUGCUUAUGUUCUGCUCCUGUAACUCCACCUAUUUUUGCCCACCAAUCCUCCAUUUGAAGACCCCCUACCCCUGAGCUAUAAAAGCCGAGUCUUCCUCACAUCCAUGGCUGUCCUCUUGAACCCUGCCUUAGGGAGAGACAGCCUGUG